RNAcentral lists this ribosomal RNA (925 nucleotides) under uncultured bacterium. RNAcentral's name for it is "bacterial SSU rRNA". It matches the Rfam family "Bacterial small subunit ribosomal RNA", at positions 33 to 947 of the family's 1533-position model. The record is from RNAcentral.
ACGCUGGCGGCAUGCUUUACACAUGCAAGUCGGACGGCAGCACAGAGAAGCUUGCUUCUUGGGUGGCGAGUGGCGAACGGGUGAGUAACAUAUCGGAACGUACCGAGCAGUGGGGGAUAACUAAUCGAAAGAUUAGCUAAUACCGCAUAUAUUCUGAGGAAGAAAGCAGGGGACCAUUUGGCCUUGCGCUGUUUGAGCGGCCGAUAUCUGAUUAGCUAGUUGGUGGGGUAAAGGCCUACCAAGGCGACGAUCAGUAGCGGGUCUGAGAGGAUGAUCCGCCACACUGGGACUGAGACACGGCCCAGACUCCUACGGGAGGCAGCAGUGGGGAAUUUUGGACAAUGGGCGCAAGCCUGAUCCAGCCAUGCCGCGUGUCUGAAGAAGGCCUUCGGGUUGUAAAGGACUUUUGUCAGGGAAGAAAAGGGCGGGGUUAAUACCCCUGUCUGAUGACGGUACCUGAAGAAUAAGCACCGGCUAACUACGUGCCAGCAGCCGCGGUAAUACGUAGGGUGCGAGCGUUAAUCGGAAUUACUGGGCGUAAAGCGGGCGCAGACGGUUACUUAAGCAGGAUGUGAAAUCCCCGGGCUCAACCUGGGAACUGCGUUCUGAACUGGGUGACUAGAGUGUGUCAGAGGGAGGCAGAAUUCCACGUGUAGCAGUGAAAUGCGUAGAGAUGUGGAGGAAUACCGAUGGUGAAGGCAGCCUCCUGGGAUAACACUGACGUUCAUGCCCGAAAGCGUGGGUAGCAAACAGGAUUAGGUACCCUGGUAGUCCACGCCCUAAACGAUGUCGAUUAGCUGUUGGGCAGCAUGACUGCUUAGUAGCGAAGCUAACGCGUGAAAUCGACCGCCUGGGGAGUACGGUCGCAAGAUUAAAACUCAAAGGAAUUGACGGGGACCCGCACAAGCGGUGGAUGAUGUGGAUU